RNAcentral lists this transfer RNA (77 nucleotides) under Bifidobacterium pseudocatenulatum. RNAcentral describes it as "tRNA-Val". It matches the Rfam family "tRNA". From Rfam's summary of the family: Transfer RNA (tRNA) molecules are approximately 80 nucleotides in length. The record is from RNAcentral. Lineage: Bacteria; Bacillati; Actinomycetota; Actinomycetes; Bifidobacteriales; Bifidobacteriaceae. RNAcentral also lists the same sequence under 5 other names.
GGGCGAUUAGCUCAGUUGGUUAGAGCGCCACCUUUACACGGUGGAUGUCGGGGGUUCGAGUCCCUCAUCGCCCACAA